RNAcentral lists this ribosomal RNA (363 nucleotides) under uncultured Nitrososphaerota archaeon. RNAcentral describes it as "bacterial SSU rRNA". It matches the Rfam family "Archaeal small subunit ribosomal RNA", at positions 515 to 878 of the family's 1478-position model. The record is from RNAcentral. Lineage: Archaea; Thermoproteati; Nitrososphaerota.
GCAUCCGUAGCCGGCUGCUCAAGUUUCCGGUUAAAUCCACACGCUUAACGUAUGGGCUGCCGGAAAUACUGUUCAGCUAGGGAGUGGGAGAGGUAGACGGUACUCGAUAGGAAGGGGUAAAAUCCUUUGAUCUAUUGAUGACCACCUGUGGCGAAGGCGGUCUACCAGAACACGUUCGACGGUGAGGGAUGAAAGCUGGGGGAGCAAACCGGAUUAGAUACCCGGGUAGUCCCAGCUGUAAACGAUGCAGACUCGGUGAUGCAUUGGCUUAUGGCCAGUGCAGUGCCGCAGGGAAGCCGUUAAGUUUGCCGCCUGGGAAGUACGUACGCAAGUAUGAAACUUAAAGGAAUUGGCGGGGGAGCA